Molecule: long non-coding RNA, 512 nt
Filed under: Mus musculus (house mouse)
Lineage: Eukaryota; Metazoa; Chordata; Mammalia; Rodentia; Muridae
Description: lincRNA-EC64
Source: RNAcentral
GGGACUUCUUUUCGGACGAUCUGUGAGAGCAAAGCAGACAAGAUGUAGGCAGGGGACUGAUAGUUCUGGUGGCGGAAUCCACCACUGGAAGAUUUCGAACAUAGAAUAGUUGAUGAAUUUAGGAUGAUAGAGUCCGUGCCCAGCGAUUGUGUGAUCUGUUGAUUCUAAACUAAGAUUGUCGGGUGUAUUCCAUUCUGCAACGAUUCAACUGAGCGCCAGUGAAAGAAUUCUACUUCCUGAUGUAAAGAUGAUUGUCGCUUGCAAAACACGGAAAGUCUGAAUUCAUGGUGAAACUCUAGAGGUGAUGAAGAACAACAUAUAAGGAGUGUCCGGCCACACUUUCUGGUGAGUCUCAACUUCCCAGAUUUAGUCUGAUACAUUGUAAGCAUCCAGAGAGUAAAGGCAGACUAGAGUGAAGUCCUAUGCGAAUAAAACACGACUUGGUGGGUCCUUCCGACUGAAGAGCAGCUCUCCUGUGUAAAGCCAUCCCAGCGGCAAUUCAGUGCAGCGCA